RNAcentral lists this ribosomal RNA (253 nucleotides) under uncultured bacterium. RNAcentral describes it as "partial 16S ribosomal RNA". It matches the Rfam family "Bacterial small subunit ribosomal RNA", at positions 524 to 776 of the family's 1533-position model. The record is from RNAcentral.
UACGUAGGGUCCAAGCGUUAAUCGGAAUUACUGGGCGUAAAGCGUGCGCAGGCGGUUCGCAAAGACAGGUGUGAAAUCCCCGGGCUUAACCUGGGAACUGCGCUUGUAACUAGCGGGCUAGAGUACGGCAGAGGGGGGUGGAAUUCCACGUGUAGCAGUGAAAUGCGUAGAGAUCGGGAAGAACACCAGUGGCGAAGGCGGCUACCUGGACCAGCACUGACACUGAGGCACGAAAGCGUGGGGAGCAAACAGG